AAGUUCCGACCAUAUUGGUAAUUUAAGUAUAUAUUGACCCAACACUUUUUAAAAAAGGGAAUCCUACUCUUUUUGUGGAAUGAUAUUUUAAUUUUAUUAAAAAACAAGAAGCAAGAAGGAGAUUCCCACCUGUUGUAGUACAGGUUCAACUAUUACUUAAAUUACGGUAUGGUGGGAUUUUU
RNAcentral lists this non-coding RNA (182 nucleotides) under Clostridium botulinum. RNAcentral's name for it is "6S RNA". It matches the Rfam family "6S / SsrS RNA". From Rfam's summary of the family: E. coli 6S RNA was the first non coding RNA to be sequenced, but its function was unknown until recently. Lineage: Bacteria; Bacillati; Bacillota; Clostridia; Eubacteriales; Clostridiaceae. RNAcentral also lists the same sequence under 1 other name. The record is from RNAcentral.